GACGAACGCUGGCGGCGUGCUUAACACAUGCAAGUUGAACGGAAAGGCCCUGCUUUUGUGGGGUGCUCGAGUGGCGAACGGGUGAGUAACACGUGAGUAACCUGCCCUUGACUUUGGGAUAACUUCAGGAAACUGGGGCUAAUACCGGAUAGGAGCUCCUGCUGCAUGGUGGGGGUUGGAAAGUUUCGGCGGUUGGGGAUGGACUCGCGGCUUAUCAGCUUGUUGGUGGGGUAGUGGCUUACCAAGGAUUUGACGGGUAGCCGGCCUGAGAGGGUGACCGGCCACAUUGGGACUGAGAUACGGCCCAGACUCCUACGGGAGGCAGCAGUGGGGAAUAUUGCACAAUGGGCGGAAGCCUGAUGCAGCAACGCCGCGUGCGGGAUGACGGCCCUCGGGUUGUAAACCGCUUUCGCCUGUGACGAAGCGUGAGUGACGGUAAUGGGUAAAGAAGCACCGGCUAACUACGUG
Molecule: ribosomal RNA, 468 nt
Filed under: uncultured bacterium
Lineage: Bacteria
Description: partial 16S ribosomal RNA
Rfam family: Bacterial small subunit ribosomal RNA
Source: RNAcentral